Molecule: long non-coding RNA, 1749 nt
Organism: Caenorhabditis elegans
Lineage: Eukaryota; Metazoa; Nematoda; Chromadorea; Rhabditida; Rhabditidae
Gene: linc-77
Product: ncRNA
Source: Ensembl
ACAGUUCAUAGAUUUCAAGUCAUCGAGUGUGAAGCCUGGAUUGAAAUAUGAAUCCAGUCGGCGAAUAUUGAAUAACUGGAAUUUAGAUAUACUUUUUGCAGUUUUACAGAUCUCAUGCAAGAUACUUACCAUGGUUUUGUCAAAAUUCAAUUCAAACUGACAUUUAAAGCCUUGCUCAGUUGCUCAGAUGUGAGGAAUAUCUCCCUACCGAUCAAUUCGAAGUAUUUGUAUUUUGUCAGCCAUGGCUUGUCUAAUAGAAACUGAUAAUCUCCAAAAAGUUUAUCAAUAUCCAAUUGCAAAUCAAUGUGAUCUACUUUGAACAAGUUCAAAAAAAGGUACAACAUUCUCCCGAGGUGCCGUGGACUUAGAAUUUCAAAUGAAAUUGAUUUGUGACCUACGAAUGCACUGAAAAACGUUAAUCAUUAACCGGAAAGGUAUUUUUACUACAAUUAUUAACCGAUAAUUUCACAGUUGACCUUUAAAUUUUCGGCACUCUCAAAAAAAUAUUAAACGUUUUUGACGGAAAAGUCAAAUUUCUGGGUAAAAAAUGUUGCCAGGAAAAAAAAUAAAUUGAGAUGCUAAAGCCCGUUAGCACAUGCUCGCUGGCUGUCUCAAAAUUUUCUCGCGGACGAGAAAACGUUAAAAUAUUAGCAAAAUGGCCUCCAAAACGGUGGAAGAGGACGAUUCCUCGUCUAACAUUCAGGCCUCCCUGUGACUGUAACUUACUGAAAUAUAUUAAUAAAUUGAUAUACAUCAUUGUUCGAUGUUUGCAAGGCGCUUUUAAUCGGACGCGUUUUAAAAUUAUUGUAGGAGUAUACAACAUCAUUGAGAGUUUCGAAGAUUAAUAAUCUUCGAAACUCAUACUUCUUGUCGACUGGAUAAUCGUGAAUGAAAUUUUCAACCAUUAUUUUGUAAACUUUCCUCUUUAUUUUCUAAAUUUAAAUUCGAGUUCUUCUUGACGUUUGCGAGAGUUGUACACUUAAAUAAUUCAUGCACUGAUUGUGAAUGUAAUGUGGUAUAUAACUUACACUUCAAAAAUUUUCAUAUGAUAAAUAAUAUUUCGAAAUGGAAGAAAGGGAAGUUUGAGCAAAUUAAACGAUUUUUUUCGUCGAUACAAACCUAACAGCAAUGAGCAGUGAGCUUGAAAAAAUCGGACAGUACAUUGAAAUAAAUUAGUAAAAAGGCUCAUUUUGGGUUGCAAUGAAGUGCGGAGAUAUGAGAGCACAGUAAUGUAAUUUUGCGUGGAGAUUUUUGCAAUCGAUAUAUUCUGUCGCACCAACAUAAUGUACAUGUUGGUUUUCCUAACAAAAAACAUACCUACUACAUGACUCGUAUCUUAGUAGAUCGAUAGUAUGGCCCACCGGCCAUUUUCGACGCAGAAAUUUUGUUUUAUUGAUUAGUCGACCAGUUACUCUCUCAGUGAACACGGUCAGUCUGUCUUCGUCUGCAAUGUACGGUUUACUGCUAAAAGUCUUUAUCGACUUGUAGUUGUUGCCGUGUUGGCAUGGCUCGCUUGGUAUUUUUCAAAGCCAUGCCGCCAGGAGGCGGUCCACAUCCAGCAGACCGUGGCUGAAAGACCCAACGAACCAGGAAGGAUUUAUACCUUCGACCCUCCGAAAAAUUGGUUUCCAUAUUGCGACUAGACAUGCAGGGAGUGGCAACUGUUUUCUACAUUUCAAACAACUAAAGUCAAUCAACUAUUUCAAAAUCAUUACUUAUCAAAUGUUUCAUUUCAAUAAAAUUGUACAC